Molecule: non-coding RNA, 2163 nt
Organism: Xyrichtys novacula (pearly razorfish)
Lineage: Eukaryota; Metazoa; Chordata; Actinopteri; Labriformes; Labridae
Source: the annotation of a GenBank genome assembly
UUUUUGGCAUUAGGGUUAAAAUCACUGUCCAAAACCUUUGCAGGAACUCUUUUCCAACCUUUUGGAGUUGGUUACACCAACAAAAAUGUAAAAUGAAAAAAAAAUAUAUUUUGGUUGUUCGGGGUUCCUAAAAGUAAUACCGGGGUAAUUAGGUUAUGGGGCUAUGGUAAGGUUUAAGGUUUUUGGCGUUAGGGUUAAAAUCACUGUCCAAAACCUUUGUAGGAACUCUUUUUCAACCUUUUGGAGUUAGUUAGACCAAAAAGUAUGAAAAAAGAAAAAAAUAUUAUUGGGGGUUUUCGGGCUCCCUGAAAGUAAUACCCGGGUAUUAGGUUUUGGGGCUAUGGUAAGGUUUAAGUUUUUUGGCGUUAGGGUUAAAAUCACUGUCCAAAACCUUUGUAGGAACUCCUUUCCAACCUUUUGGAGUUAGUUAGACCAAAAAAAAAUGAAAAAUUAAAAAACAAUAUUUGGGGUUUUCGGGGUUCCUGAAUGUAAUACCCGGGUAUUAGAUUUUAAGGCUGGGGUAAGGUUUAAGGUUUUUGGCGUUAGGGUUAAAAUCACUGUCCAAAACCUUUGUAAGAACUCUUUUCCAACCUUUUGGAGUUAGUUAGACCAAAAAAUAUGAAAAAAGAAAAAAAUAUUAUUGGGGGUUUUCGGGCUCCCUGAAAGUAAUACCCGGGUAUUAGGUUUUGGGGCUAUGGUAAGGUUUAAGUUUUUUGGCGUUAGGGUUAAAAUCACUGUCCAAAACCUUUGUAGGAACUCUUUUCCAACCUUUUGGAGUUGGUUACACCAACAAAAAUGUAAAAUGAAGAAAAAAAUAUUUGGGGUGUUCAGGCUUCCUGAAGGUAAUACCCGGGUAUUAGAUUUCAAGGCUAGGGUAAGGUUUAAGGUUUUUGGCGUUAGGGUUAAAAUCACUGUCCAAAACCUUUGUAGGAACUCUUUUCCAACCUUUUGGAGUUAGUUAGACCAAAAAAUAUGAAAAAAGAAAAAAAUAUUAUUGGGGGUUUUCGGGCUCCCUGAAAGUAAUACCCGGGUAUUAGGUUUUGGGGCUAUGGUAAGGUUUAAGUUUUUUGGCGUUAGGGUUAAAAUCACUGUCCAAAACCUUUGUAGGAACUCUUUUCCAACCUUUUGGAGUUGGUUACACCAACAAAAAUGUAAAAUGAAGAAAAAAAUAUUUGGGGUGUUCAGGCUUCCUGAAGGUAAUACCCGGGUAUUAGAUUUCAAGGCUAGGGUAAGGUUUAAGGUUUUUGGCGUUAGGGUAAAAAUCACUGUCCAAAACCUUUGUAGGAACUCUUUUCCAACCUUUUGGAGUUAGUUAGACCAAAAAAUAUGAAAAAAGAAAAAAAUAUUAUUGGGGGUUUUCGGGCUCCCUGAAAGUAAUAGACGUGUAUUAGGUUUUGGGACUAGGGAAAGGUUUAAGGGUUUUGGCGUUAGGGUUAAAAUCACUGUCCAAAACCUUUGUAGGAACUCUUUUCCAACCUUUUGGAGUUAGUUAGACCAAAAAAAAAUGAAAAAUUAAAAAAAAUAUAUUUGGGGUGUUCAGGCUUCCUAAAAGUAAUACCCGGGUAUUAGGUUAUGGGGCUAUGGUAAGGUUUAAGGUUUUUGGCGUUAGGGUUAAAAUCACUGUCCAAAACCUUUGUAGGAACUCUUUUUCAACCUUUUGGAGUUAGUUAGACCAAAAAAAAAAUGAAAAAUGAAAAAAAAAAUAUUUGGGGUUUACGGGCUUCUUGAAUGUAAUACCCGGGUAUUAGAUUUUAAGGCCAGGGAAAGGUUUAAGUUUUUUGGCGUUAGGGUUAAAAUCACUGUCCAAAACCUUUGUAGGAACUCUUUUCCAAACUUUUGGAGUUAGUUAGACCAAAAAAAAAAAGAAAAAUGAAAAAAAAAUAUUUGGGGUGUUCAGGCUUCCUAAAAGUAAUACCCAGGUAUUAGGUUAUGGGGCUAUGGUAAGGUUUAACGUUUUGGCGUUAGGUUUAAAAUCACUGUCCAAAACCUUUGUAGGAACUCUUUAACAACCUUUUGGAUUUAGUUAGACCAAAAAAAAAUGAAAAAUUAAAAAAAAUAUAUUUGGGGUGUUCAGGCUUCCUAAAAGUAAUACCCGGGUAUUAGGUUAUGGGGCUAUGGUAAGGUUUAAGGUUUUUGGCGUUAGGGUUAAAAUCACUGUCCAAA